UACGGAGGAUGCAAGCGUUAUCCGGAUUUAUUGGGUUUAAAGGGUACGUAGGCGGAAGAUUAAGUCAGUGGUGAAAUCCCGCAGCUCAACUGUGGAACUGUCAUUGAUACUGGUUUUCUUGAAUUUAGUUGAGGUAGGCGGAAUGUGUAAUGUAGCGGUGAAAUGCUUAGAUAUUACACAGAACACCGAUUGCGAAGGCAGCUUACUAAACUAUGAUUGACGCUGAGGUACGAAAGCGUGGGGAGCGAACAGGAUUAGAUACCCUCGUA
This 269-nucleotide ribosomal RNA is filed under the name uncultured prokaryote. Its description in RNAcentral is "partial 16S ribosomal RNA". It matches the Rfam family "Bacterial small subunit ribosomal RNA", at positions 524 to 792 of the family's 1533-position model. The record is from RNAcentral.